Jaculus jaculus (lesser Egyptian jerboa) is the source of this 1101-nucleotide long non-coding RNA. RefSeq lists it as uncharacterized. The record is from RefSeq and is a predicted model, not a curated record. The transcript has 3 exons. Lineage: Eukaryota; Metazoa; Chordata; Mammalia; Rodentia; Dipodidae.
GCCGACUGUUCGCUCCAUUCUGAGAUCCAGGCAAUCUGAGCUUUGCCGCCUCCAGACGCAGCCACCAGGAGCUGGCAUGGAAGGAGAGAUCAGAGGAGAUGCACGAGGAUCUGGGAGGCAGGCCCUUUGAGGCUGCUGAAGAGUAAGAGGCUGCAGCAGCAGGAAGGCCUCCGCCUCACUGCCCCGAGAGGACGGACGAGAGAAGCAGGCCUCUACCUCUGACAGUCCUUCCCUGGCUUAAGGGUCCUCAUCCGUCAAAUGGACUACAGUUCUCGUCCUGCCUACGCACGCAAAGGACAGACGCUAUGGUCCCUGAGCAAAAGAAACACCAGAAAACCAGCAGCAGCAUGCUGUGUCCAAGCACCCUUCCAGCCGCAAGGGUGACCUUCCCACACACACCCGGGCUAGUCAUGGCAGAUGCGCUCCCCAGCAUCUCUACCUCCCCCAGCCCUGCCGUGCCCCAACAGCAGCCCUGGCCUCUCCGCCUCUGCUCCCUUAGAUAGGGAGAGAGUGGAGAAAGGCAGGCUCAGAGAAUGCUACUGUGCUGGGGACUGGGGCAUCACAGGUCUCAUUUCAUCCCACCUCAAGCCUUCUAGGUCACUCCUACUGGUGAGACAACAGGGGAGCUGACGUGACUGAUUGGAGAUCACACAGCUCAGUCUAGGGGUGCUGAUCCCAUCUUUUCUCAGAAACGGAACAUUCUGGAAGUACUGACUCCAUGCCAGGCGUGAAACAUGGCUGCUCCUCUGUUCAUCUAACUCACAUUAAGCAUCUACCAAACCACAGGGUUCUAGCUGCUCUUCCCUGUCGGAGGAGCUGCAGAACUGGGGGUGAUGAAAUGGGGGCUGUCCUGUGAAGUGACAAGGUGGGGAAUCCAGUCGGGGCUGCCUGGCUGUGGCUCACCCUUGUCCCCGGCCUCUGGUCCCUUUUCCUUGUCAUGGCGCACUGCUCAGCCCGCUCCUCGUCAGGCCCUUGGUUCUCCCACCCUUCCCAGGUGGCCCUGCGGGCACAGCCCCAUCUCCUCUGAGCCCCUUCAACCUUGCUGUCUUGCCCCUAUCUGGCUUGGGAUCAACAUUGUGAAAAUGGCGGGCUAGGGGAAUG